This 2369-nucleotide long non-coding RNA is filed under the name Chloebia gouldiae (Gouldian finch). RNAcentral describes it as "Erythrura gouldiae (Gouldian finch) lncRNA (ENSEGOG00005011043.1)". The record is from RNAcentral. Lineage: Eukaryota; Metazoa; Chordata; Aves; Passeriformes; Passeridae.
CCACCUUUUCCCCUCUUUUCCCUCCUUUCCCCCCAAUUUUCCUGCCUUUCCCCCUCUUUUCCCGCCUUUUCCCCAAUUUUCCCACCAUUUCCCCUCUUUUCCCACCUUUUCCCCUCUUUUCCCGCCUUUUUCCCCUCUUUUCCCCCCUUUUUCCCCAUUUUCCCGCCUUUUUCCCUCUUUUCUUCCAUUUUCCCGCCAUUUCCCCUCUUUUCCCGCCUUUUUCCCCAUUUUCCCGCCAUUUCCCCUCUGUUCCCGCCAUUUCCCCUCUUUUCCCGCCUUUUCCCCCCUUUUCCCGCCAUUUCCCCGCCAGGCCCCGCCCCCCUCACACCUGAUUGGCCGCUCCCAGGAGGGCGGGGAAAGCCCCGAGGUUGGUGACGUCAUCCAGGCCGGGCCCCGCCCCCCGCGGGCGGGGCGGCCGCCAGGGGGCGCCGAGGCGCCGCAGCAUCGACUCCUCCCAGCGGCGCCUGCGGGAAAGGCGCCAAAACCGCCCCAAAUCGCCCCAAAAUCCGGACCAAAAUGGACCAAAAUCACCCCAAAAUACGGGCCAAAAUCACCCCAAUUCACCCCAAAACCACCCCAAAAUUCAGGCCAAAAUUACCUCGAAAUCACCCCAAAAUCCGGACCAAAAUGGACCAAAAUCACCCCAAAAUACAGGCCAAAAUCACCCCAAAAUCGGGACCAAAAUCCGGACCAAAAUGGACCAAAAUACGGCCCAAAAUGGACCAAAAUCACCCCAAAAUACAGACCAAAAUCGCCCCAAAAUACAGACCAAAAUCACCCCAAAUUCACCCCAAAAUCCGGACCAAAAUCGCCCCAAAUCGCCCCAAAAUCCGGACCAAAAUGGACCAAAAUCACCCCAAAAUACAGGCCAAAAUCACCCCAAAAUCCGGACCAAAAUGGACCAAAAUCACCCCAAAAUUCAGGCCAAAAUCCCCCCAAAUCACCCCAAAAUUCAGACCAAAAUCACCCCAAAUUCACCCCAAAAUCCGGACCAAAAUCACCCCAAAAUCACCCCAAAAUCCAGACCAAAAUCGCCCCAAAUUCACCCCAAAAUCACCCCAAAAUUCAGGCCAAAAUCACCCCAAAUCACCCCAAAAUCCAAACCAAAAUCACCCCAAAAUCCAGACCAAAAUCACCCCGAAUUCACCCCAAAAUCCAGACCAAAAUCACCCCAAAAUUCAGACCAAAAUCACCCCAAAACCCGGACCAAAAUCACCCCGAAAUCACCCCAAAAUCCCGACCAAAAUCACCCCAAUUCACCCCAAAAUCCGGACCAAAAUCACCCCAAAAUCGCCCCAAAAUCCGGACCAAAAUGGACCAAAAUCAUCCCAAAAUCCGGACCAAAAUCACCCCAAAAUCCGGGCCAAAAUCACCCCAAUUCACCCCAAAAUAUGGACCAAAAUGGACCAAAAUCACCCCAAAAUUCAGACCGAAAUCACCCCAAUUCACCCCCACAUCCAGACCAAAAUCACCCCGAAAUCACCCCAAAAUCCAGACCAAAAUCACCCCAAAAUCCGGACCAAAAUCACCCCGAAAUCACCCCAAAAUCCCGACCAAAAUCACCCCAAUUCACCCCAAAAUCCGAACCAAAAUCACCCCGAAAUCACCCCAAAAUCCGGACCAAAAUGGACCAAAAUCACCCCAAAAUUCAGGCCAAAAUCACCCCAAAUUCACCCCAAAAUCCCGACCAAAAUCACCCCGAAAUCACCCCAAAAUUCAGACCAAAAUGGACCAAAAUCGCCCCAAAUUGCCCCAAAAUACAGACCAAAAUCACCCCAAAUUCACCCCAAAAUCCGGACCAAAAUCGCCCCAAAUCGCCCCAAAAUCCGGACCAAAAUCACCCCGAAUUCACCCCAAAAUCCGGACCAAAAUCGCCCCAAAUCGCCCCAAAAUCCGGACCAAAAUGGACCAAAAUCACCCCAAAAUACAGACCAAAAUCACCCCAAAAUCACCCCAAAAUUCAGACCAAAAUCACCCCAAAAUCCGGACCAAAAUCAUCCCAAAAUCACCCCAAAAUCCGGACCAAAAUCACCCCAAAUCACCCCAAAAUCCGGACCAAAAUCACCCCGAAAUCACCCCAAAAUCCAGACCAAAAUCGCCCCGAAUUCACCCCAAAAUCCAGACCAAAAUCAGCCCAAAAUCCGGACCAAAAUCACCCCAAAUUCACCCCAAAAUCCGGACCCAAAUCACCCCAAAUCACCCCAAAAUCCGGACCAAAAUCACCCCAAUUCACCCCAAAAUCCCGACCAAAAUCACCCCAAUUCACCCCAAAAUCCGGACCAAAAUCACCCCAAAAUCCGGACCAAAAUCACCCCAAUUCACCCCAAAAUCCGGACCAAAAUCACCCCAAAAUCCGGACCAAAAUCACC